UGGCGAACGGGUGAGUAAUACAUCGGAACGUGCCCAAUCGUGGGGGAUAACGCAGCGAAAGCUGUGCUAAUACCGCAUACGAUCUACGGAUGAAAGCAGGGGAUCGCAAGACCUUGCGCGAAUGGAGCGGCCGAUGGCAGAUUAGGUAGUUGGUGAGGUAAAGGCUCACCAAGCCUUCGAUCUGUAGCUGGUCUGAGAGGACGACCAGCCACACUGGGACUGAGACACGGCCCAGACUCCUACGGGAGGCAGCAGUGGGGAAUUUUGGACAAUGGGCGAAAGCCUGAUCCAGCCAUGCCGCGUGCAGGAUGAAGGCCUUCGGGUUGUAAACUGCUUUUGUACGGAACGAAACGGCCUUUUCUAAUAAAGAGGGCUAAUGACGGUACCGUAAGAAUAAGCACCGGCUAACUACGUGCCAGCAGCCGCGGUAAUACGUAGGGUGCAAGCGUUAAUCGGAAUUACUGGGCGUAAAGCGUGCGCAGGCGGUUAUGUAAGACAGUUGUGAAAUCCCCGGGCUCAACCUGGGAACUGCAUCUGUGACUGCAUAGCUAGAGUACGGUAGAGGGGGAUGGAAUUCCGCGUGUAGCAGUGAAAUGCGUAGAUAUGCGGAGGAACACCGAUGGCGAAGGCAAUCCCCUG
RNAcentral lists this ribosomal RNA (639 nucleotides) under Variovorax sp. EECC-694. RNAcentral describes it as "bacterial SSU rRNA". It matches the Rfam family "Bacterial small subunit ribosomal RNA", at positions 96 to 731 of the family's 1533-position model. The record is from RNAcentral. Lineage: Bacteria; Pseudomonadati; Pseudomonadota; Betaproteobacteria; Burkholderiales; Comamonadaceae.